AGCGUAGACGGAUGGGCAAGUCUGAUGUGAAAGGCAUGGGCUCAACCUGUGGACUGCAUUGGAAACUGUCAUACUUGAGUGCCGGAGGGGUAAGCGGAAUUCCUAGUGUAGCGGUGAAAUGCGUAGAUAUUAGGAGGAACACCAGUGGCGAAGGCGGCUUACUGGACGGUAACUGACGUUGAGGCUCGAAAGCGUGGGGAGGCAAACG
RNAcentral lists this ribosomal RNA (208 nucleotides) under uncultured bacterium. Its description in RNAcentral is "partial 16S ribosomal RNA". It matches the Rfam family "Bacterial small subunit ribosomal RNA", at positions 568 to 775 of the family's 1533-position model. The record is from RNAcentral.